UACGGAGGGUGCAAGCGUUGUUCGGAAUUACUGGGCGUAAAGCGCGUGUAGGCGGUUUCCUCAGUCUGGUGUGAAAGCCCGGGGCUCACCACCGGAAGUGCAUCGGAUACUGGGAGACUAGAGUACCGGAGAGGAGGGUGGAAUUCCUGGUGUAGCGGUGAAAUGCGUAGAUAUCAGGAGGAACACCGGUGGCGAAGGCGGCAUCCUGGACCGACACUGACGCUGAGGAGCGAAAGCCAGGGGAGCAAACGGG
RNAcentral lists this ribosomal RNA (253 nucleotides) under uncultured bacterium. Its description in RNAcentral is "partial 16S ribosomal RNA". It matches the Rfam family "Bacterial small subunit ribosomal RNA", at positions 524 to 776 of the family's 1533-position model. The record is from RNAcentral.